Cephus cinctus (wheat stem sawfly) is the source of this 3432-nucleotide long non-coding RNA. RefSeq lists it as uncharacterized. NCBI's taxonomy places the organism in Eukaryota, Metazoa, Arthropoda, Insecta, Hymenoptera, Cephidae. The record is from RefSeq and is a predicted model, not a curated record. The transcript is spliced from 8 exons.
AAAGGGUGUACUAUAAAACUGACUGAAGAUAUGGUUGUGACUCACUCAAUUGCAUGUAGGUAAAUAGAAAUACGACGUAGUGCAGGUAGUAAGUUUUAGAACACACUCAGAAAAUUAUUUACCGCAGGGACGUCUUGUGGAUUGCCAAUUACGUUUUAGAACGCAGAUAACGUUGUAUCUGAGUAUGUAACUGAUGUCAUAACAGUAGUAAUUGCGCCCUGGGCAUAAUUACUAGACAGUAAAAUAACGUUGUUGACCUUCGCCCCAUUCAAGAGGCUCGAACUGCUAGACACAGGAAUUUAGGAACUGAAGCAAUAUAGACGGUCGUAUCGCGUUUAAUGGCAGACACUUAUUAGCCAAGGAAAGAAAACGGAACUGCCAAAUUAAUCUAGUAUUUUUGUACCACCAAAAAAAGGACAACGAUAAAUCGACAAUUUUUUAUGAACGUAUUUUUGACUUUAAAACGGUCAAAUGACCGGUCGAUGCUACGGUAGCAUUAAAUAUAUCAAGAGCAACAGGGUGUCUGGAAUAAUCUGGAAUUUAGACAGACAGCCGUGACGCUUGUUGCUCCCCGUUUGGGCGUCUAUUUGUACUUCAGUCGUACACGGGUCGAGGUUGGCGAAGCGUUGGCUAGCGUAAAAAAAGAUUCCGGCUCCCAAGAAACAAAAGGAUACGACGGAAUCUGAUGGAAUCCCAGUCCCUCUUGGAAUUUCGUAGUGAGCCACGGAUUAGGGUGGUAAGCCCGGAAAACGGCAAUGUGAAUAGCGCUGGUUAUUCUUAUACGAAGAAUGACAAAGGAAGUAUCCAGUAAAGGCAAAUAUAAAGAAACAGAAAGUAUAGUCUAAGAAACUUUAGAGGAGAGAGUGAACAUUGUCUCUUGGGCAUUGACAGUAUUAUCGAUUAGCUUCGAUUCCCUUUAAAGGAAACAUAACCUAUUGUAAGAAAAAUCUUUCCUCUCAUACGCAGUUACCGUGCUCGCGUUUCGUCCUGUCAACGUUCCCUUUUGACGACUAAGCCUGAAGCUUAGUCAACUGUCUUUACGUGUGGAUUAAAAGCAAAGGAAAUUAACAGAAGGAAGAAAAGCGGGAAGUCAGGAGAAUAAGUCUCGGAACGAAACGCGUGGUUGGGCACCUCGAAAAAUGUACCUCUGGGAUUUGACGUCGAGCGAGCGUAACGGGAAAUCCUUAUCUCGUCUCCGUCUGUCUCUUGGGACAACAGAGGAGAAAUUUUCCAUGAAUGUAUUCUAAAACUGACUGCAGAUAUAAUGCAUCCCAUAUCAGACUACAGGAUCCAUAAUACAUUACACGGUACACUGUAAAGGUGCGCAGCCAUGUGAUAAAAAAUGGCGAUUGUGAAAAACAUGAGAUUUUAACCUAGAAACGACGUACGCGAUGUAAGUACUACGUCGUGCAACCAGAUGGGCAAGGUAGUCGACAAAAUUCUUUUUUUUUAAUCCAUAAUUAAUGCAAUACCGGUGCAUCGCCAUGGUCUGUUUCUAAUUAAAAAGUUACGCUCGAGCGGCUGGCUGUUUUAUCCUAGUAAAUAUUUCACGGCGGACCUACGAUGCUAUUACGUUCCAACGGCCACCCACCUGCUCCCGAAAGAAAGACUGGAGAGAAUAAAGAGGAGAUUGAUAGAACAAAAGGAAAGAGAGGAGUAACGACAAAAUGCGGUCAUCGAACGACGUUCCUGGGGAUCGUACACUAUCCGUCUUCCGGUUACGGAUGAUAACGUUUUCAAGCGAUGUUCCUGUUUCCUCCUUUUGGCUUUACACUCAUCCGAGUAACGAUUGCUCGACCUGAUGGGGAUUUUAAUAAGGGAACGAGGGCUUAUUCAUAUCCUCGCGUAGAAAACGGCGCUUGCGCUAGACAGCCACCUGUAGCCCAGCUUCCAAUCAAUACAUCAUGGCACAUCGUACCAGCGAGCUGUAGCGAUGGGCAUGAAUCCACUCGUCCUAUUGAAGAUAUGGAAAAAUGCGAAAAAAUGGCAAGAUUGGUGAUACAGAGAAGUAAAUAAACCAUCGAAAAAUUUUCAAAAGGAAAUUUCGAUUAUCGCAUUCAGAGGAAAAACCAUCCACUUGCUGUAUAUCGAUGAUACCGAACUACCGUAACUUCGAUUGUUUACGAGGUCAUAAAUUGACAUUUAAUGCCAUUUUCACAUCGUCCCACUGUAUCUACAUCUCGAAAAAAAUCCAGAAAAAUGUUCACCGACCUCGACGUUGUAGCGACUGGCGGUUAUUAGGAAAGUAAUAUUUUUCUUCCAUUUGACCCAGUAACGAGAAUUCACGGUAACCAUAUUUCUACCCUAGCAGGAACGACGCAGAGGAUUCAAAAUAAUAAUCGUAACCCGAGUCCAGUACCUCAAAAAGUAUAGCGCUCUAUGGAAAGAAAAGAAAUGAAGGAAAUGGAAAUACCAACAAAAGAGAAAGAAUUCUAAGGGAUGUUUAUGUAACGUUCUCUACUCCCAUCUCUUCUACCAAUCGACUGUGAGGUCUUUGUUACUAUCAGUAUUUGCUAAUUGAAUACUUUUGGACGUACUAAUGUUGUACCAUGAUAAUGAGCAGUGGCGCCACGGGAGGCGCGAGUUAAGAAGAAAAUACAUUUAAUGGGAAGUGAGAGCGGAAGGCAGGGGAAGGAAGAAAGGAAAGAACAGUUUUCCGAUCGCAAAAGUGAAACGAGCUCUAAUUAAAUUUCGCUCCGUGGCUCCCAUUUUAACUCGUCUGUUAUACAUUCAGCAUCUCUUCAAAAGAGGAUAUUAAAUGGACUCCAGUCAGUUUUAAUUAAGUUUCCACCAACGGGGAUGCUGGGUUAAUCUCGUCUCUAUCAAUAUUCUCGUCUUCAGCAGAUCCACAGGUAAAUUGACAAAUCUAUAGAGAGCACGUGCUCGACUGAACCAAGCCACACUAGUUGCACAACGUAAAUUUACUUUCUGCUACUCUGCACCGCAACUGCAACGAUCUCCUGUUUCCGUAAACUUCAAAAGUUAAAAGUUUGUUGUGUCAGUACAGCAGCAAGGGUCCAUCUAAAUAUAACGUUCCAGCAAGGGCUCGUGUGUCAGGGCAGACCUGGCUAAAAUCGAUUUUAUUCAGUAGCAACCCUCAGCACGCACCUACCCAUUCGUACGAACUCACCCUGUUAUCUACUGUGGAAACCGAUAAGCUGACUUCCGAUGAUAGAGAUUACGUCUAGACUUGGUAUGAUCCUGGAUAACUAUUGUUUUCAUUCUAUAUCUUCACUAGUGACCAUUCAAUAAGAUUAAGUAUGUACUGAUAAAGGUAUACUGUAGGUUUCUCGAAUAUUUUCAUUUCAUUGAUUAGAUUGACACUGAUAAGGAACGUAUUUGCUUAACUCAUUAGAAUCUACAGUCUAAUGGAUAGAGUGAGUCACCUAGGAUUUGGAGAAAUCAAAAAGGUUAGCCAGGUGCUUGAUUGUU